UACGUAGGGGGCGAGCGUUGUCCGGAUUUAUUGGGCGUAAAGAGCUCGUAGGCGGUUUGUCAAGUCGGGUGUGAAAACUCCGGGCUCAACUCAGAGACGCCACUCGAUACUGCUAUGACUCGAGUCCGGUAGGGGAGUGCGGAAUUCCUGGUGUAGCGGUGAAAUGCGCAGAUAUCAGGAGGAACACCAGUGGCGAAGGCGGCACUCUGGGCCGGUCCUGACGCUGAGGAGCGAAAGCGUGGGGAGCGAACAGG
Molecule: ribosomal RNA, 254 nt
Filed under: uncultured bacterium
Lineage: Bacteria
Description: partial 16S ribosomal RNA
Rfam family: Bacterial small subunit ribosomal RNA
Source: RNAcentral